MicroRNA precursor from Oryza sativa Japonica Group (Japanese rice), 204 nucleotides. It matches the Rfam family "MIR812 microRNA precursor family". Lineage: Eukaryota; Viridiplantae; Streptophyta; Magnoliopsida; Poales; Poaceae. The record is from Rfam.
AAAAAGACAAACCCUAAAUUUUCGUAUCCAAUGUUUAACUGUCCGUCUUAUAUAAAUUUUUUUUAAUUAGUAUUUUCAUUGUAGUUAGAUGAUAAAACAUGAUUAAUACUUUAUGCGUGACUUAUCUUUUUAAUUUUUUUAUAAUUUUUUUAAAUAAGACGUGCGGUCAAACAUUGGACACGAAAAUCCAAGAUUUGUCUUUUU